This 125-nucleotide small RNA is filed under the name Marmota monax (woodchuck). The record is from RNAcentral. Lineage: Eukaryota; Metazoa; Chordata; Mammalia; Rodentia; Sciuridae.
GCCAGGUGCAGUGGCGUAUGCCUGUAAUCCCAGAGGCUUGGGAGGCUGAGGCAGGAGGAUUGCAAGUUUGAAGCCAGCCUCAACAAAAGCAAGGUGCUAAGCAACUCAGUGAGACCCUGUCUCUA